RNAcentral lists this ribosomal RNA (97 nucleotides) under Vibrio natriegens NBRC 15636 = ATCC 14048 = DSM 759. RNAcentral's name for it is "partial 16S ribosomal RNA". Lineage: Bacteria; Pseudomonadati; Pseudomonadota; Gammaproteobacteria; Vibrionales; Vibrionaceae. The record is from RNAcentral.
UUAAAUUGAAGAGUUUGAUCAUGGCUCAGAUUGAACGCUGGCGGCAGGCCUAACACAUGCAAGUCGAGCGGAAACGAGUUAACUGAACCUUCGGGGG